UACAGAGGGUGCGAGCGUUGUCCGGAAUUACUGGGCGUAAAGGGCGCGUAGGCGGCUCGAUAAGUAGGGGGUGAAAUUCCGUGGCUCAACCACGGAACUGCCUUCUAGACUGUCAGGCUUGAGCACGGUAGAGGCAGAUGGAAUUCCCGGUGUAGCGGUGGAAUGCGUAGAGAUCGGGAAGAACACCAGUGGCGAAGGCGGUCUGCUGGGCCGUUGCUGACGCUGAUGCGCGACAGCGUGGGGAGCAAACAGG
This 253-nucleotide ribosomal RNA is filed under the name uncultured bacterium. RNAcentral describes it as "partial 16S ribosomal RNA". It matches the Rfam family "Bacterial small subunit ribosomal RNA", at positions 524 to 776 of the family's 1533-position model. The record is from RNAcentral.